AUAAGCGGAGGAAAAGAAACUAACAAGGAUUCCCCUAGUAACGGCGAGUGAAGCGGGAUGAGCUCAAAUUUGAAAGCUGGCCUCACGGUCCGCAUUGUAAUUUCGAGAGAUGUUUUCCGCGUUGGACCACGUACAAGUCUCCUGGAAAGGAGUGUCAUAGAGGGUGAUAACCCCGUACUUGAUGUGGACGCCCAAGGCUUUGUGAUACAUCUUCGACGAGUCGAGUUGUUUGGGAAUGCAGCUCCAAAUGGGUGGUAAAUUCCAUCUAAAGCUAAAUAUUGGGGAGAGACCGAUAGCGAACAAGUACCGUGAGGGAAAGAUGAAAAGCACUUUGGAAAGAGAGUUAAACAGUACGUGAAAUUGUCAAAAGGGAAGCACUGGAGGUUAGACGUGUGCGGUUGGAUUCAGCUUUUUUUAAAAGUGUAUUUCCAGUCGUACAGGCCAGCAUCGGUUUUCUGGGCCGGAUAAGGGCAGGAGGAAUGUAGCUUUCUUCGGAAAGUGUUAUAGCCUCUUGCUUGAUACGGCUUGGGGGACCGAGGCAUGCAGCGCGCCUUUUUGGCGGACCUUCGGGUACCUUCGCGCUUAGGAUGCUGGCGUAAUGGCCUUCAGUGACCCGUCUUGAAACACGGACCAAGGAGUCUAACAUGUCUGCGAGUCUUUGGGUGGCAAACCCGUGGGCGCCAUGAAAGUGAAUGCAAG
This 699-nucleotide ribosomal RNA is filed under the name Clinoconidium cf. bullatum RB 3002. RNAcentral describes it as "LSU rRNA". It matches the Rfam family "Eukaryotic large subunit ribosomal RNA", at positions 46 to 735 of the family's 3401-position model. Lineage: Eukaryota; Fungi; Basidiomycota; Exobasidiomycetes; Exobasidiales; Cryptobasidiaceae. The record is from RNAcentral.